UGGUGUAUGUGACAAAGCUGGAAGGAGGCA
RNAcentral lists this non-coding RNA (30 nucleotides) under Mus musculus (house mouse). Lineage: Eukaryota; Metazoa; Chordata; Mammalia; Rodentia; Muridae. The record is from RNAcentral.